Toxorhynchites rutilus septentrionalis is the source of this 555-nucleotide long non-coding RNA. RefSeq lists it as uncharacterized. The transcript has 3 exons. Lineage: Eukaryota; Metazoa; Arthropoda; Insecta; Diptera; Culicidae. The record is from RefSeq and is a predicted model, not a curated record.
UUAUCACAUUCGAGUAAAAGUGUUUCGGGUGAAUGGUAUUCGGGCGAAUGGUAUUCGGGGACUUUCACCCAAAGGUCAUUCGUCCCUAUUUUCGUUGCAUCGUGCGCGUCGGCUUCUCUUUGGCCCGGAACUAUCCAACAACGAAAAUAUAGAUUCAAAUUCGGUCACUAAACUAUGCACAGCCUGCCGGUUGGAACGAUUAUUACGGCCGCAAAUUGGAGUGAGCGCUCUUAAGGUUGCAACCACCGACUCCGAAUUUCGAUCAUUAAAAGGUUUUAAUAGUUCGUUCACACGAAGACACAAACUGUCAAGCUGCUGAUGAAUGACCCUCUACAAUAGUGGAAACAACGACUUCAAAUUGAACGUUGAUGAUGCUGCUUAGCUAGAAGGUGUCCCGUCGAUGAAAUCAAAUAGCAAUCGGAGGGAGCCAAGUUUGGUGAAUAGAACGCAUGCGGUAGUUGAUCUCUAUUAAGUAUCUCAACCGUUUGCCUGGUCGGUUUUGCUCGGUGUGACGGGGCAUUAUCAUCAAGAAAAAUCACUUUGUAUUGUUUUCUC